UAUCCGGAAUUAUUGGGCGUAAAGGGCUCGUAGGCGGUUCGUCGCGUCCGGUGUGAAAGUCCAUCGCUUAACGGUGGAUCCGCGCCGGGUACGGGCGGGCUUGAGUGCGGUAGGGGAGACUGGAAUUCCCGGUGUAACGGUGGAAUGUGUAGAUAUCGGGAAGAACACCAAUGGCGAAGGCAGGUCUCUGGGCCGUUACUGACGCUGAGGAACGAAAGCGUGGGGAGCGAACAGGAUUAGAUA
RNAcentral lists this ribosomal RNA (243 nucleotides) under uncultured bacterium. RNAcentral describes it as "partial 16S ribosomal RNA". It matches the Rfam family "Bacterial small subunit ribosomal RNA", at positions 542 to 784 of the family's 1533-position model. The record is from RNAcentral.